RNAcentral lists this ribosomal RNA (108 nucleotides) under Ochotona princeps (American pika). Lineage: Eukaryota; Metazoa; Chordata; Mammalia; Lagomorpha; Ochotonidae. The record is from RNAcentral.
GUCUACAGCCAUAGCACCCUGAGUGCGCCCAAACUCGUCUGAUCUCGGAAGCUAAGCAGGGUCGGGCCUGGUUAGUACUUGGAUGGGAGAAAACAAUGGCUUAUUACA